This 101-nucleotide Y RNA is filed under the name Zalophus californianus (California sea lion). Its description in RNAcentral is "Y RNA (ENSZCAG00015007497.1)". It matches the Rfam family "Y RNA". Rfam says of the family: Y RNAs are components of the Ro ribonucleoprotein particle (Ro RNP), in association with Ro60 and La proteins. Lineage: Eukaryota; Metazoa; Chordata; Mammalia; Carnivora; Otariidae. The record is from RNAcentral.
AGCUGAACCAAGUACAAUGUGUUUAAAAUUAAUUGAUGAUAACCAGUAACAUAUUUCUUUAUUCCUUCUUAACUCUCACUGCUUCAUUUGACUAGCCUUAA